CUAUAAUAAUAUACAAAUAUAAAGAACAUAUAGCAAUUAAGCAAUUAAAAUUAAUACAUGAAAUAUAUAAUACAAAUGACAUUUUCAAACACGAUAAAAAGAAACAUUAUAUGCGUUUAACCACUUAUUUGGUUGUUCUCAUAUGCAUACAAGUCUUAUGCAAAUGAACACACUUCUAGACAGUCAGCAGAGGGUGCAGCAGACUUCUCAAG
Molecule: non-coding RNA, 212 nt
Organism: Pelobates cultripes (western spadefoot toad)
Lineage: Eukaryota; Metazoa; Chordata; Amphibia; Anura; Pelobatidae
Source: the annotation of a GenBank genome assembly